RNAcentral lists this transfer RNA (77 nucleotides) under Gemmatimonadota bacterium. Its description in RNAcentral is "Gemmatimonadetes bacterium (marine metagenome) tRNA-Arg". It matches the Rfam family "tRNA". From Rfam's summary of the family: Transfer RNA (tRNA) molecules are approximately 80 nucleotides in length. The record is from RNAcentral. Lineage: Bacteria; Pseudomonadati; Gemmatimonadota.
GCACCCAUGGCUCAAUUGGAUAGAGCACCUGACUACGGAUUAGGAGGUUGGGGGUUCGAAUCCCUCUGGGUGCACCA